GAUGGAAAACUACAUGAACUACAUGUUGCUAAAUCCACCGCGGAGAAUAAACAGAAGGGCAACCGGGCAACUAUGCUCUGGGGUCUUCUUCUGUGCUUUUGGUGUAUUUUGUGGCGGAAGUACAGCGCCACUUACAGGCCCGGCAUAUGUACUACAGCGUCUCCAGCGGUCUCGU
This is a long non-coding RNA of Notothenia coriiceps (black rockcod), 175 nucleotides long. RefSeq lists it as uncharacterized. Lineage: Eukaryota; Metazoa; Chordata; Actinopteri; Perciformes; Nototheniidae. The record is from RefSeq and is a predicted model, not a curated record. The transcript is spliced from 3 exons.